Molecule: long non-coding RNA, 2385 nt
Organism: Bactrocera dorsalis (oriental fruit fly)
Lineage: Eukaryota; Metazoa; Arthropoda; Insecta; Diptera; Tephritidae
Exons: 3
Source: RefSeq, a predicted model, not a curated record
CGCAUUUGCUAGAAGAGUGGGAAGCGAAAAUAAGGAGAAGUCAGCUGAAUUAUUCCAGGAAUGCAAUGUAACAGUAAAAAUAUUAUAUUUAGUGAAAAUGAGAGUGGACACUGGUAAUUUUUGACUGAUGUGCGAAUAUUUGUUAAAAUUUGGUGAAAAGUCUUUGUUUAAAGUGUUUAAUUGUGUUUUUAUUUGGUCUAAAGUUGAAAUCGUUAAUAAAUGCAAAGAAAUAGUGUCGUGAAAGUCGUAUUGCGUUAAAAUCUUCGAAAGUAUGAGUUUUUCUGCAAAUUCCUUAAGUGCGUUGUCGGGUUUGUUCGUGGGUGUAUAUAAGCGUGUAUGUAAGAAUGUGGAAGCUUCAGGAUUUUCGCGUUUGGCUUACGUGUUCUAAAAAAUAGCGAGUGGUGCAACAUAACCAAGGCGAGUUUAAAAAGGGUCGGCCGGUCGUAAGGAACUCGGAGUGCAGCCCCCAUCUAUAACUGAAGCAAGCUGCCAACAAAACCUUGAUUUUUGACUUGCUUUGACUUGCUUUUUCGGCUGCGGCUCAGUUUUGACACGACAUUCAGCCGAUUGGCCGUCUGUUUUCGGCUCGCAAGCAUAGAUCUGAGACGCAACGCCAGCAAUAAUUUGUUUCAUGACAUCCUGGUAGUGCGAAGGCCUUGUUUCACCAACGAUAACGCGACGUUGUUUUUCGAAAAAAUUGUACUCUGUGAGCACAAUUUUUCUGGAACGGCUGGAACGACCGACCAAACUCAUCUAACUCUGGAAGUUUAUUUCAACCUAGGGUACUAUCCAAUAAGAAAAAAAGAGAGAGGACCAUUUUUUGAAGGCGCAGCAGACGGGCAUUAGAGAGCGCGAAGAGCGGGCUGAGGAGAGCAUCUCUUGAAAAUCAAAUCUGGACUGCCUAGUUGCCAAACGAGUUAUCAAACAAAAAGUUGGAUAUUAUCAUCUAAACCUAGUCGUUUAUGGACAAAACGUUCGAAUUAAAGGAUUUUGGAAUCGGAGAUACUCGGAAAUCCUCCCGCAACCCAUUUCAACACCAUCAAUUGGGAGAAAAAAUCAUUUUGGUGGUUUUCUCCUCAAAAACGGCGCUUUGGUACACAUUUUUAUUUUUCUAAAUUUCUGUGUAAAUGCAAAUUUAAAAUUUCUUUAAUAAAAAUAUUCUCCUUGCGAUUCUGCAAAUUUUUGCAUUUUUACUUUUUCUCUAGGACCAUUAGUUUAGAAGUUAUAAGCAUUUUUGUAUCCGCUUUAAUUCGGCGGUUGCUUGCUGCAUGCUCCUGGUCGCCUGGUAGAAUUCUGGGAUUUUGGCACCAAAUUGAAUGCAAUUUUUCUGCAGCGGCGGCGGAUGCGCUCCAAAUCUGCGGGGAGGGUAUAGCAUAAGCAAAGGGGCGAAAUUGGGGACACGGAAGUGGCCAUAAAUAAUGCCCGGAAAUGGGGAUAGGUCCCGGACCGGAAGCGGAAAUGGGACCCCACUUCCGGUCUGACAUCUGAACCGGAAGCGAAAAACCGGAAACGGAAAUGAGGCCCACCUCCGGCCUGGCGACUGAACCGGAAGCGUCAACCCGGAAACGGAAAUGAGCCCGCUUCCGGUUUACCGGGUGGACCGGAAGUCAUGAACCGGAAAUGGGUGUCCCGGACCGGAAGUGGGCUUCCGGUCAAGGACGCAUCCCCAUUUCCGGGCAUUAUAUAUGCCUACUUCCGUGUCCCCAAUUUCGCCCCUUUGCGUAUGCUAUACCCUCCCCGCAAAUUUGUAGCGCAUCCGCCGCCGCCGCCGCUGCUGAAAAAUUGCAUUCAAUUUGGUGCCAAAAUCCCAGAAUUCUACCAGGCGACCAGGAGCAUGCAGCAAGCAACCGCCGAAUUAAAGCGGAUAUAAAAAUGCUUAUAACUUCUAAACUAAUGGUCCUAGAGAAAAAGUAAAAAUGCAGAAAUUUGCAGAAUCGCAAAGAGAAUAUUUUUAUUAAAGAAAUUUUAAAUUUGCAUUUACACAGAAAUUUAGAAAAAUAAAAAUGUGUACCAAAUCGCCGUUUUUUGAGGAGAAAAUCGUCAAAAUGAUUUUUUUUCCUAAUUGAGGGCGUUAAAAAGGGUUGUGGGAGGAUUUCCGAGCAUCUCUCUAUUUAUUCCCAGUCCAAAACUUUUAAAUUGGAACAUUUUGUCCAUAAGCGAUUAGUUUUUGAUCAUAGUAUCCAACUCUUUGCUUGAUAAUUAUUUUUCUUCGCGGAGUCUGAAAACAGCGUAUCGAGAAGAAGAGAUCUUACCGGCAUCGUUGGAAUGUCGGAAGGAUCAAUGAAAACUAAUUGGAGUGAUCAUCUGGGCGUAAGAAAAGUGAAAGCGCAAUUAGUUUUACAACCACUAAUUUUUUUCGAAAACAGCUUCUCGUUAAUGUCUAUC